AUAUAAAAUGUAUUAUCAUCAGAUUAGAUAGAUGUAGAAGAUGUCAAU
Molecule: non-coding RNA, 48 nt
Filed under: Trypanosoma brucei brucei
Lineage: Eukaryota; Euglenozoa; Kinetoplastea; Trypanosomatida; Trypanosomatidae
Source: RNAcentral